RNAcentral lists this ribosomal RNA (556 nucleotides) under uncultured bacterium. RNAcentral's name for it is "bacterial SSU rRNA". It matches the Rfam family "Bacterial small subunit ribosomal RNA", at positions 96 to 650 of the family's 1533-position model. The record is from RNAcentral.
CGGCGCACGGGUGAGUAACGCGUAUCCAACCUGGCCCUUAGUAGGGGAUAGCCCGGCGAAAGUCGGAUUAAUACCCUAUGUUAUCCCUUGAGGACAUCUGAUUUGGAUUAAAGGUUUACCGCUAAGGGAUGGGGAUGCGUCUGAUUAGGUUGUUGGCGGGGUAACGGCCCACCAAGCCUGCGAUCAGUAGGGGUUCUGAGAGGAAGGUCCCCCACAUUGGUACUGAGACACGGACCAAACUCCUACGGGAGGCAGCAGUGAGGAAUAUUGGUCAAUGGACGAGAGUCUGAACCAGCCAAGUAGCGUGCAGGAAGACUGCCCUAUGGGUUGUAAACUGCUUUUAUGCGGGAAUAAAGUGCACCACGUGUGGUGUUUUGUAUGUACCGCAUGAAUAAGGACCGGCUAAUUCCGUGCCAGCAGCCGCGGUAAUACGGAAGGUCCGGGCGUUAUCCGGAUUUAUUGGGUUUAAAGGGAGCGCAGGCGGGAGGUUAAGCGUGACGUGAAAUGUACCGGCUCAACCGGUGAGUUGCGUCGCGAACUGGCCUUCUUGAGUGAG